GUUGAAAGAUGGCAUCAUCAUUCAACCAAAGGAGCAAUCCGCUAUGAGAUGGACCCGCGGCGCAUUAGCUAGUUGGUGGGGUAACGGCCUACCAAGGCGACGAUGCGUAGCCGACCUGAGAGGGUGAUCGGCCACAUUGGGACUGAGACACGGCCCAAACUCCUACGGGAGGCAGCAGUGGGGAAUAUUGCACAAUGGGGGAAACCCUGAUGCAGCAACGCCGCGUGAGUGAUGAAGGUUUUCGGAUCGUAAAGCUCUGUCUUUGGGGAAGAUAAUGACGGUACCCAAGGAGGAAGCCACGGCUAACUACGUGCCAUCAGCCCCGGUAAUACGUAUGUGGCGAGCGUUAUCCG
Molecule: ribosomal RNA, 353 nt
Filed under: Clostridium perfringens E str. JGS1987
Lineage: Bacteria; Bacillati; Bacillota; Clostridia; Eubacteriales; Clostridiaceae
Description: SSU rRNA
Rfam family: Bacterial small subunit ribosomal RNA
Source: RNAcentral